Long non-coding RNA from Harpia harpyja (harpy eagle), 3041 nucleotides. RefSeq lists it as uncharacterized. The transcript is spliced from 3 exons. NCBI's taxonomy places the organism in Eukaryota, Metazoa, Chordata, Aves, Accipitriformes, Accipitridae. The record is from RefSeq and is a predicted model, not a curated record.
AUGUCUCUGUCUGCAUGUAAGAAAAGCCAGAGGGACAGACACUGCUGUUGGCAUCCUGUUAAGCACAGGCAAGGACUGUAUCGCUUUCACUAGUGACCUUUCAGCUUCCAAAAUCUUGGCUGUAACUUGCUAAAAUACACUUUGCCUUCACUAUCACACCUGUCCAAGUGGAGGUGGGCGGGAAGGAACUGAACUGGAGCUGGCUGAGCACACCUUGAGCAUGCUGCUUCCCUGGAGGUGCCAAGCUGAAGCCAAGCAGCAUGGCCAGGCCAUCCUGGGCCCUGCAGCGAGCCCUCUGCAUCAGAAGUUGCUGCCUGGAUGCUGCUCUCAGGAGGGACCUCUCAGUCCCCACAGCCCAGCAGACCCUGGAAUGACUCCUCUCCCAGCUCCAGUUAAGUCCUGAAGGGCUCUGCUGAGCGAAGCACAGCCGCUGGCCGAAGCACAGCCACCCAGCCUGCGUGGAGCCGCGGGACGCUGGAGGUCCUCGCAGCCUGAUGGCCAACGACGACCUCUGCAAGCCAGCGAGUGCAAGAUGUCUCAGCCUUGGGACUUCAGCGAUUCCACAGCUUCAGGUUCACCAGCUCAGCCGCAGAAGUUUUAAGCUACUUAAUUACUUUUUCUAUGGUGCUUCAAAUGUAUAAAGUGCUUAUAGAAGUACGAAAUGGCACUUUUACCACCAGGAGACUGUUUAUCUAUUUUUAUUUCCUUUCAAGUUAGAGGAGGCGAGUGGAAGAAAAUAUGAACUUGCUUUCUCCGAGAAAACAAACUGACCUUUGAGUGUUAUGAAAGCCUUUAUACAAUAAUUUGGGCAAAGAGAACUGGAAUUUCUCCUGUGAAGCGUAUUUUUCCUUAAAAAAUGCCAGUUUGCUAAAACCAGAACGGUUUGCAGAAAGGCUUGGUUUCGUGAAUCUGUCCAUUUGAUAGUUGGUUAGAAAAGUUUUGGAACUGCUGAAAUGCUGAGUUUGUCAGCAUAACUCUUCAAAUAUGAAGUUUCUCUACAGUUAGAGUUAAAAAAAAUAGAACCAGAAAUUUAAAAAUAGAAAAAAUAUAUAAUAAUUAAAAAAAUAGAAUUUAAAUAAAAAAGAAGCUUUUUUGCAUUAUUUAAAACCAAAAUGUUUAAACUGACCUAAUCCAAAACACACUGUGGUCAUCAGUUCACAACAGCUUUGAAAUUCAUAUUUCUGGGGACUGGAAAGUUUACCCCAUCCCAGGAGGAGACUGGUAAGCAGCCCUGGCAGGAAAGUUGCAGGGUAUCUCUUCUGAAACGGGCUCAAAUAAAUCCCUGACCCGUGGCUGUGACCAUGGUCAUGCAACACAUGAACUCUGCGUUUGGACAGGCUAGCAUGCAGCCGUUACCUCCUCUCAAGAGCUGCACACAAAAUAAAUAUAUCCAGUACCGUGAUGCAAAAAUAAUGUUGGUUAGAAAUCCAGAAGCCCCUUCUGCCUCAUGACUGUUUUCUCCCAGCAGCUCAGAGGUGGGACACAGCCACCGCAUGGUUUGCCUGAACCUGCACGUGGUGCGGGGAGGGCUGGGCUGAUGUUGGGUUGCCCUUAUUCGUACUUGUUUUACUGAUCUGCCCCUAUUUGAGGGGUUUGUUUUCAGUUUUCAGAAUAGCACAGGUUCAAAGCAACAGGUGAAGCAUUUCUGGCUCUCUCGCUCUUCACCAAAGGCAGUGCAAGACGUCUAAUGAAAAAAAGAACAAAUAUUAAGCUAAAGGCACAUGUUGGUCUUACUAACCAACACUUACUAACCUUAGAAGGCUUAUUACUGUUUUGCUGUUGCUAUUUGCCCCAAAAAGGAAGUAUUCUGGGCUGGAACUACUGUGAGGCAUGUUUAGAGCAAGAUAAAAGUCCAGUCAAGAUCCUGCCCUCUGUUAAAGGUAUUUUUGUCCAGGAAACAUAUUGGGAAUAACUGGCGGGUGGGGGAAACCAAAGGAAAUAAUUAAAAAUAGGUGAGUAAACUGUCUUUCUUUGCCCCCGCUUUUUUUUCCCCUGCUUUCCGCAACAGAGAAAGCACACAAAACCAAUUACAUUCAUUCUAAUUUUGGAAAAAGUGGGUUAUUUAAGGCCAAAACCAAAAAGGAAGACUUCACCCUGGAAUAACACUCUCCAGAGCCUGCACUGGCAAGGUACUAAUGCACUUCCCAGCUGGGUGAAAUGAUGCUGCCUUUGGCCUUAAGCCCCAUGGCACACCAAAGGCAUGAAACUGUGCCUCAUUGCAGGUAUCUUUUAUUGUGGCUUAGGGCCAAAAAAGCAACAAUAAUGACUUAUAUUUGCACAGCACAUUUCAUAAUCCACUGGGGUUGCAACCAAGUGGAUUGCGUGUAGCUGUGCCCUUCUCAUUCAAAUUCCUAAGUACCAAAUUAAUGUCCUGGUUUGUGGUUGUUAGAGAAGACACUAAGUGGCCUGCCUUUCCUCCUCAUUCCUUGAUAAUGCAUCCUGCUGCAAGUCCUCCUGAGAGCUGCUGCUGUUGAUUUUUAACCUCCUAGGGCUGAAACAACAUUUUAACACCAGGAAGUGUAUAAUCAGUGCAAACCUGCCCUUGCUCAGGUCCCCAGCUGGAGCAAGAGAUGUAUCUGUUUGAAACCCAGAAAGACAAAACCAUUCACUCUCAGAUGAUCACCUCUGAACUGCUCUCCCUGGCAGCUGGGCAUAAGGCUCCUUCAUGUGGAAUUAAUGCCUGCUCUUCAAUAAAUCACCCAUCGCUUAUUUUUUUGCCUCCUUGCUGCUUAGCCUAACAUUUUCCUGAAUAGCCAGGAAUAAAGUGGCAUUGUGGGCUUUUUUAAGUUCACAGAGUUGCGUGUGAUUAACAAUAGCCAAGAAUCAAAAGCAUUAUGCUUAAACAUGUCUAAUAAAUAUAAUGGAGAGAGAGAGAAGUCUGAAGGCUUUUCUACAUCUGAAACAGAUAAUUCAAGCGUCAUAAAAAAUUCACUGCCACAAAAAAUGUAAGUCCCUGGAGCUUUUGGAGUAAAUCCAGUCUGAAUCCAAAGAGCAUCAACAAGGGAUGCCUUUAAUAAAAGUUUAAUUAAUCAAUCAUUGGA